Zalophus californianus (California sea lion) is the source of this 338-nucleotide long non-coding RNA. RefSeq lists it as uncharacterized. The transcript has 4 exons. The record is from RefSeq and is a predicted model, not a curated record. Lineage: Eukaryota; Metazoa; Chordata; Mammalia; Carnivora; Otariidae.
GGGUGGUUAAGGCAUCCAUUCUGGAACGAGCAACAGUGGCUUGAAUCCCUGCUCAUCUACUUACUGACUGCAUGAUCUGGGAGAAACAUGGAUCUACAACUUCUGCCCCAUGGAAAGUAAAGAAAGAGUUUUGGAAUUGAGCACAAAUAAUUUAGAAACCUUGGGGUUGCUGGAAUAAGAGGAAGAACUAGUAAGAAAUUCACUAAAAAACUGCAGUCAUGGAAAGACCAUCAGAAGAAGUAGGCCAAAGUGAGGAUGCCUGAGUGACCAGGAGAAUGGGCUUCUAUACCUUCCCCUUCCAUCACCACAUUUGAGAGAGGUGUUGCACCGGCCUCUCC